RNAcentral lists this non-coding RNA (32 nucleotides) under Rattus norvegicus (Norway rat). Lineage: Eukaryota; Metazoa; Chordata; Mammalia; Rodentia; Muridae. The record is from RNAcentral.
UGAGGACAGCUCAGAUAGUGAGUGAUUCCUCU